CGCAGCUAACGCGGUAAGCGCCCCGCCUGGGAGUACGGCGCAAGCCUGAAACUCAAAGGAAUUGGCGGGGGCCCGCACAACCGGUGGAGCGUCUGGUUCAAUUCGAUGCUAACCGAAAAACCUUACCCGGGCUUGACAUGGUGGGAAACCCUUGCGAAAGCGAGGGGUGCCGUCCUCUGGACGGAAUCCCACCACAGGUGGUGCAUGGCCGUCGUCAGCUCGUGUCGUGAGAUGUUGGGUUAAGUCCCGCAACGAGCGCAACCCCUGCCCCUAGUUGCUACCCCGAAUGGGGAGCACUCUAGGAGGACUGCCGGCGAUAAGCCGGAGGAAGGUGGGGAUGACGUCAGGUCAGUAUGCCCUUUAUGCCCGGGGCUACACAGGCGCUACAGUGGCCAGGACAAUGGGAUGCGACCCAGUAAUGGGGAGCAAAUCCCCCAAACCUGGUCAUGGUGCGGAUUGAGGGCUGAAACUCGCCCUCAUGAAGCCGGAAUCGGUAGUAAUGGCGGAUCAGCUAAGCCGCCGUGAAUACGUUCUCGGGCCUUGCACACACCGCCCGUCACGCCACGGAAGUCAGUCUUCCCGGAAGGCCCCAAGC
This 595-nucleotide ribosomal RNA is filed under the name uncultured Thermocrinis sp. Its description in RNAcentral is "bacterial SSU rRNA". It matches the Rfam family "Bacterial small subunit ribosomal RNA", at positions 847 to 1435 of the family's 1533-position model. The record is from RNAcentral. Lineage: Bacteria; Pseudomonadati; Aquificota; Aquificia; Aquificales; Aquificaceae.